GCGGCUGUAGCUCAGUGGUAGAGCGCUUGCCCAGCAUGCGUGAGGCACUGGGUUCGAGUCUCAGCACCACA
This 71-nucleotide transfer RNA is filed under the name Ictidomys tridecemlineatus (thirteen-lined ground squirrel). Its description in RNAcentral is "Spermophilus tridecemlineatus (thirteen-lined ground squirrel) tRNA". It matches the Rfam family "tRNA". From Rfam's summary of the family: Transfer RNA (tRNA) molecules are approximately 80 nucleotides in length. Their secondary structure includes four short double-helical elements and three loops (D, anti-codon, and T loops). Lineage: Eukaryota; Metazoa; Chordata; Mammalia; Rodentia; Sciuridae. The record is from Rfam by way of RNAcentral.